GGUUAAGCGACUAAGCGUACACGGUGGAUGCCCUGGCAGUCAGAGGCGAUGAAGGACGUGCUAAUCUGCGAUAAGCGUCGGUAAGGUGAUAUGAACCGUUAUAACCGGCGAUUUCCGAAUGGGGAAACCCAGUGUGUUUCGACACACUAUCAUUAACUGAAUCCAUAGGUUAAUGAGGCGAACCGGGGAACUGAAACAUCUAAGUACCCCGAGGAAAAGAAAUCAACCGAGAUUCCCCAGUAGCGGCGAGCGAACGGGGAGCAGCCCAGAGCCUGAAUCAGUGUGUGUGUUAGUGGAAGCGUCUGGAAAGGCGCGCGAUACAGGGUGACAGCCCCGUACACAAAAAUGCACAUGCUGUGAGCUCGAUGAGUAGGGCGGGACACGUGGUAUCCUGUCUGAAUAUGGGGGACCAUCCUCCAAGGCUAAAUACUCCUGACUGACCGAUAGUGAACCAGUACCGUGAGGGAAAGGCGAAAAGAACCCCGGCGAGGGAGUGAAAAAGAACCUGAAACCGUGUACGUACAAGCAGUGGGAGCACGCUUAGGCGUGUGACUGCGUACCUUUUGUAUAAUGGGUCAGCGACUUAUAUUCUGUAGCAAGGUUAACCGAAUAGGGAGCCGAAGGGAAACCGAGUCUUAACUGGGCGUUAAGUUGCAGGGUAUAGACCCGAAACCCGGUGAUCUAGCCAUGGGCAGGUUGAAGGUUGGGUAACACUAACUGGAGGACCGAACCGACUAAUGUUGAAAAAUUAGCGGAUGACUUGUGGCUGGGGGUGAAAGGCCAAUCAAACCGGGAGAUAGCUGGUUCUCCCCGAAAGCUAUUUAGGUAGCGCCUCGUGAAUUCAUCUCUGGGGGUAGAGCACUGUUUCGGCAAGGGGUCAUCCCGACUUACCAACCCGAUGCAAACUGCGAAUACCGGAGAAUGUUAUCACGGGAGACACACGGCGGGUGCUAACGUCCGUCGUGAAGAGGGAAACAACCCAGACCGCCAGCUAAGGUCCCAAAGUCAUGGUUAAGUGGGAAACGAUGUGGGAAGGCCCAGACAGCCAGGAUGUUGGCUUAGAAGCAGCCAUCAUUUAAAGAAAGCGUAAUAGCUCACUGGUCGAGUCGGCCUGCGCGGAAGAUGUAACGGGGCUAAACCAUGCACCGAAGCUGCGGCAGCGACGCUUAUGCGUUGUUGGGUAGGGGAGCGUUCUGUAAGCCUGCGAAGGUGUGCUGUGAGGCAUGCUGGAGGUAUCAGAAGUGCGAAUGCUGACAUAAGUAACGAUAAAGCGGGUGAAAAGCCCGCUCGCCGGAAGACCAAGGGUUCCUGUCCAACGUUAAUCGGGGCAGGGUGAGUCGACCCCUAAGGCGAGGCCGAAAGGCGUAGUCGAUGGGAAACAGGUUAAUAUUCCUGUACUUGGUGUUACUGCGAAGGGGGACGGAGAAGGCUAUGUUGGCCGGGCGACGGUUGUCCCGGUUUAAGCGUGUAGGCUGGUUUUCCAGGCAAAUCCGGAAAAUCAAGGCUGAGGCGUGAUGACGAGGCACUACGGUGCUGAAGCAACAAAUGCCCUGCUUCCAGGAAAAGCCUCUAAGCAUCAGGUAACAUCAAAUCGUACCCCAAACCGACACAGGUGGUCAGGUAGAGAAUACCAAGGCGCUUGAGAGAACUCGGGUGAAGGAACUAGGCAAAAUGGUGCCGUAACUUCGGGAGAAGGCACGCUGAUAUGUAGGUGAAGUCCCUUGCGGAUGGAGCUGAAAUCAGUCGAAGAUACCAGCUGGCUGCAACUGUUUAUUAAAAACACAGCACUGUGCAAACACGAAAGUGGACGUAUACGGUGUGACGCCUGCCCGGUGCCGGAAGGUUAAUUGAUGGGGUCAGCGCAAGCGAAGCUCUUGAUCGAAGCCCCGGUAAACGGCGGCCGUAACUAUAACGGUCCUAAGGUAGCGAAAUUCCUUGUCGGGUAAGUUCCGACCUGCACGAAUGGCGUAAUGAUGGCCAGGCUGUCUCCACCCGAGACUCAGUGAAAUUGAACUCGCUGUGAAGAUGCAGUGUACCCGCGGCAAGACGGAAAGACCCCGUGAACCUUUACUAUAGCUUGACACUGAACAUUGAGCCUUGAUGUGUAGGAUAGGUGGGAGGCUUUGAAGUGUGGACGCCAGUCUGCAUGGAGCCGACCUUGAAAUACCACCCUUUAAUGUUUGAUGUUCUAACGUUGACCCGUAAUCCGGGUUGCGGACAGUGUCUGGUGGGUAGUUUGACUGGGGCGGUCUCCUCCUAAAGAGUAACGGAGGAGCACGAAGGUUGGCUAAUCCUGGUCGGACAUCAGGAGGUUAGUGCAAUGGCAUAAGCCAGCUUGACUGCGAGCGUGACGGCGCGAGCAGGUGCGAAAGCAGGUCAUAGUGAUCCGGUGGUUCUGAAUGGAAGGGCCAUCGCUCAACGGAUAAAAGGUACUCCGGGGAUAACAGGCUGAUACCGCCCAAGAGUUCAUAUCGACGGCGGUGUUUGGCACCUCGAUGUCGGCUCAUCACAUCCUGGGGCUGAAGUAGGUCCCAAGGGUAUGGCUGUUCGCCAUUUAAAGUGGUACGCGAGCUGGGUUUAGAACGUCGUGAGACAGUUCGGUCCCUAUCUGCCGUGGGCGCUGGAGAAUUGAGGGGGCUGCUCCUAGUACGAGAGGACCGGAGUGGACGCAUCACUGGUGUUCGGGUUGUCAUGCCAAUGGCACUGCCCGGUAGCUAAAUGCGGAAGAGAUAAGUGCUGAAAGCAUCUAAGCACGAAACUUGCCCCGAGAUGAGUUCUCCCUGACUCCUUGAGAGUCCUGAAGGAACGUUGAAGACGACGACGUUGAUAGGCCGGGUGUGUAAGCGCAGCGAUGCGUUGAGCUAACCGGUACUAAUGAACCGUGAGGCUUAACCUU
Molecule: ribosomal RNA, 2896 nt
Filed under: Escherichia coli
Lineage: Bacteria; Pseudomonadati; Pseudomonadota; Gammaproteobacteria; Enterobacterales; Enterobacteriaceae
Description: 23S ribosomal RNA
Rfam family: Bacterial large subunit ribosomal RNA
Source: RNAcentral